GACGAACGCUGGCGGCGUGCCUAAUACAUGCAAGUCGAGCGGACGAAUCGAAGGCUUGCUUUUGAUUCGUUAGCGGCGGACGGGUGAGUAACACGUGGGCAACCUGCCCUGUAGACGGGGAUAACACCGAGAAAUCGGUGCUAAUACCGGAUAACACGAAAUGUCGCAUGACGUUUCGUUGAAAGACGGCGCAAGCUGCCGCUACAGGAUGGGCCCGCGGCGCAUUAGCUAGUUGGUGAGGUAACGGCUCACCAAGGCGACGAUACGUAGCCGACCUGAGAGGGUGAUCGGCCACACUGGGACUGAGACACGGCCCAGACUCCUACGGGAGGCAGCAGUAGGGAAUCUUCCGCAAUGGACGAAAGUCUGACGGAGCAACGCCGCGUGAGCGAAGAAGGCCUUCGGGUCGUAAAGCUCUGUUGUUAGGGAAGAACAAGUAACGCAGUAACUGGCGUUACCGUGACGGUACCUAACGAGAAAGCCACGGCUAACUACGUG
This 498-nucleotide ribosomal RNA is filed under the name uncultured bacterium. RNAcentral's name for it is "partial 16S ribosomal RNA". It matches the Rfam family "Bacterial small subunit ribosomal RNA", at positions 28 to 507 of the family's 1533-position model. The record is from RNAcentral.